UACGUAGGGUGCGAGCGUUGUCCGGAAUUACUGGGCGUAAAGAGCUCGUAGGUGGUUUGUCGCGUUGUUCGUGAAAACCGGGGGCUUAACCCUCGGCGUGCGGGCGAUACGGGCAGACUGGAGUACUGCAGGGGAGACUGGAAGUUCCUGGUGUAGCGGUGGAAUGCGCAGAUAUCAGGAGGAACACCGGUGGCGAAGGCGGGUC
RNAcentral lists this ribosomal RNA (205 nucleotides) under uncultured bacterium. RNAcentral describes it as "partial 16S ribosomal RNA". It matches the Rfam family "Bacterial small subunit ribosomal RNA", at positions 524 to 727 of the family's 1533-position model. The record is from RNAcentral.